GGGGAACGCCAGACGGAUAGAACUAUCUAUUUGAAAGGUUCCAGAAGUAGGCGCUACAACGCCGAAAUGACCUUCUCACCCUUGUGUACUCACUAUGUUGCUUUGGCGGGUCGACCUGGUUCCGACCCAGGCGGCCGGCGCCCCCAGCCUUAACUGGCCAGGACGCCCGGCUAAGUGCCCGCCAGUAUACAAAACUCAAGAAUUCAUUUUGUGAAGUCCUGAUAUAUCAUUUAAUUGAUUAAAACUUUCAACAACGGAUCUCUUGGUUCUGGCAUCGAUGAAGAACGCAGCGAAAUGCGAUAAGUAAUGUGAAUUGCAGAAUUCAGUGAAUCAUCGAAUCUUUGAACGCACAUUGCGCCCUCUGGUAUUCCGGAGGGCAUGCCUGUUCGAGCGUCAUUUCAACCCUCAAGCUCUGCUUGGUAUUGGGCAACGUCCGCUGCCGGACGUGCCUUGAAGACCUCGGCGACGGCGUCCUAGCCUCGAGCGUAGUAGUAAAAUAUCUCGCUUUGGAGUGCUGGGCGACGGCCGCCGGACAAUCGACCUUCGGUCUAUUUUUCCAAGGUUGACCUCGGAUCAGGUAGGGAUACCCGCUGAACUUAAGCAUAUCUAAACCCCGAAGGAAAAAAUCAUUUACUG
RNAcentral lists this ribosomal RNA (636 nucleotides) under Phyllosticta sp. TFJ9. Its description in RNAcentral is "eukaryotic LSU rRNA". The stretch from base 243 to 396 matches the Rfam family "5.8S ribosomal RNA". Lineage: Eukaryota; Fungi; Ascomycota; Dothideomycetes; Botryosphaeriales; Phyllostictaceae. The record is from RNAcentral.